This 613-nucleotide ribosomal RNA is filed under the name uncultured Lachnospiraceae bacterium. Its description in RNAcentral is "bacterial SSU rRNA". It matches the Rfam family "Bacterial small subunit ribosomal RNA", at positions 90 to 721 of the family's 1533-position model. Lineage: Bacteria; Bacillati; Bacillota; Clostridia; Lachnospirales; Lachnospiraceae. The record is from RNAcentral.
ACUGAGUGGCGGACGGGUGAGUAACGCGUGGGUAACCUGCCUCAUACAGGGGGAUAACAGUUAGAAAUGACUGCUAAUACCGCAUAAGCGCACAGUGCUGCAUGGCACAGUGUGAAAAACUCCGGUGGUAUGAGAUGGACCCGCGUCUGAUUAGCUAGUUGGUGGGGUAACGGCCUACCAAGGCGACGAUCAGUAGCCGGCCUGAGAGGGUGAACGGCCACAUUGGGACUGAGACACGGCCCAAACUCCUACGGGAGGCAGCAGUGGGGAAUAUUGCACAAUGGGGGAAACCCUGAUGCAGCGACGCCGCGUGAGCGAAGAAGUAUUUCGGUAUGUAAAGCUCUAUCAGCAGGGAAGAAAAUGACGGUACCUGACUAAGAAGCACCGGCUAAAUACGUGCCAGCAGCCGCGGUAAUACGUAUGGUGCAAGCGUUAUCCGGAUUUACUGGGUGUAAAGGGAGCGUAGACGGUUGUGUAAGUCUGAUGUGAAAGCCCGGGGCUCAACCCCGGGACUGCAUUGGAAACUAUGUAACUAGAGUGUCGGAGAGGUAAGCGGAAUUCCUAGUGUAGCGGUGAAAUGCGUAGAUAUUAGGAGGAACACCAGUGGCGAAGG